This is a long non-coding RNA of Fukomys damarensis (Damara mole-rat), 311 nucleotides long. RefSeq lists it as uncharacterized. Lineage: Eukaryota; Metazoa; Chordata; Mammalia; Rodentia; Bathyergidae. The record is from RefSeq and is a predicted model, not a curated record. The transcript is spliced from 3 exons.
GGUUGUCAUCAGUAGGAGCAGCCAACAGGUACAAAUGGCUGAUGCUUCCCAGAACCCCACACUUCUUCAAAAACCAGCCCUCGGGCAAGUCUGAAGGCUGCUCUCCACCCAGCUUUGGCAGGGGCAGGAUCCGAGUUUCUGCAAAGAUAUACUCUCCAGCAAGUGAUGGAAAUCGCUGAUACCAGCUUCCUUCCUCUCCUCCCCACCCGGCACCCCAGCCCACCACCCUGUGACGGAGAGGUCAGUGAGCAAGGAGACAGCUAAGACACUGUGGGAGGAAGGAGAAAGAAGGAAAGUUGAUCAGCACUUCA